RNAcentral lists this ribosomal RNA (253 nucleotides) under uncultured bacterium. RNAcentral's name for it is "partial 16S ribosomal RNA". It matches the Rfam family "Bacterial small subunit ribosomal RNA", at positions 524 to 776 of the family's 1533-position model. The record is from RNAcentral.
UACAGAGGGUGCGAGCGUUAAUCGGAAUUACUGGGCGUAAAGGGUGCGUAGGUGGUUAUAUAAGACGGAUGUGAAAACCCUGGGCUUAACCUGGGAAUGGCAUUUGGAACUGUAUGACUAGAGUUUGGUAGAGGGAAGUGGAAUUUCCGGUGUAGCGGUGAAAUGCGUAGAUAUCGGAAGGAACACCAGUGGCGAAGGCGACUUUCUGGACUGAGACUGACACUGAGGCACGAAGGCGUGGGGAGCAAACAGG